GCAGACCCCAGGCGCAGUACAGGGUGAGUGCGCGUCGACGGGGAGGAAAGGAGGAAGGUCUCAGACCAGGGGCAAGUCUGCGGAGGGAUGAGCCAGACACGUCUAGGAAACCUAAGCAACCAGAGCUUGGAUUGGUGGUGUGAACGUUUCAGCUGCCCCAAGGUGGAGCCAGGGUACCAUGCAUCAACUCAGAGAAGGGUCUGACUUUGCAGUUGCAGCUGGCCUUGAACUCACCUUGUAGCCGAAGCUGGCCUCAAACUCUCAGCGAUCUUUCUACCUCAGCCUCUCGAGUGCCGGGAUUACAGGAAGAAAAGAAUACACAAAGAAAUCAGGAAAUCAUUACUAAGAGUUCAGAAGCAAGAAAAUGGCAACUUGGGGUAUGUAGGCAUAAGAGAGGGGCACAAACACACUGAGAUAUCUUUGAGAGGUGUAAACCAACAGGACUUGCUGAUGAAUGUGAUCUUGGAGGAGGGUGUGAAUGGAAGAGAAGAAUCGAGGGUAAUGCUUAAAUUUAGUGCUUGAGGAAUAGUGGGGUUUUUGGAGACGUGAGUUUAUGUGCUGUCAACUUUAUUGUAAUAAUCAAUGUUGAUACUUCUUUUUCUAGCUUAGUGCUUCUCGAAGUUGAAAUAUGCAUAGUUCCAUUUUAAAAAGAAUUCUGUCAAUAAACAAAUUCUGAUUUCAUGUCUGUACUGUUUACUAUCUUCAAUAGAGGUACAUGUUUGUUCUUCCUCUAAUGUCAGACUGUUUAAUUCCUCGAGGUAUAUGUAGAUCUCGGCAAUGUGAUCCUUCCAAUUUUGUUCUUCUGUUGUCAAAAUUGUGUCCUAAUCAUGCUAAACUCACUGAAUAUCUCUAGGUAAGAAUUUCCCCAAACUGAUGAAAACUAACACACCAUACAUCUCAGAAGCUCAGAGAAGCCCAUGGAAGAUACAUACAAAGGAAAACACAACUAGGUACAUCUUAGUGAAACUCUUGAAAACCAAAAGGAAAGAGCACGUCCUAAAAUAACCCAAAAGCAAAUGAUUUACUAUAAGCAGAGAAAGAAGGUAGAAAAGAAAAAAGACCUCUUGACAGUAACAGUAACUAUGCAAACCAGAAGAGAAAGAGCAAUGUCUUUGAAGUGCUGAGACAUAGUAAGGAAGAGGGUAGGAGGAGAAGAAAGAAUGUGAAUCAGAGAAAGAAGGAGCAGAUAGAAGAGGAGGAGAAGAAAGAGGAAGGAAAAUAUCCUCUCUAGUUAGAAAAGAAGCAAAUUAUAAAUUAUCAAUAUCAUCAUUUAAAAAAUAGUCACUAUUAUAGAUCCUACAAACAUUAUUAGAAUAAUAAUGAACUAUUUACCACCUUCUAUGUUUCUCCCACUUCUGAUCUAUAAAUUUAACACAUGUAAUGAAAUGAAUAAUUUUUCUAAAGACAAAAGUUCCUAAAGAUUUCUCAAGAAAAGAAAAACAUGACCUGAAGAACCUCAUUAACCAUAUUUCAAACAUCUUUUCCUUGAUGAAUUUUACUAAACAGUCAAGUAAGAAAUAUUUGCAAUUUUACACAAAAUCUCCCAAAACAUGGAAGAGAAAGAUCCCUUCCCAAUACAUCAUAUGAGACCAGCAUGCCUCAUACCAGAACUCAGACCAAUAUUUUUUAUCUUUAGGGAAACAAAAAUUCGACAAGAUAUUAGUGUAAAAAAAAUCCUGCUGUAUAAAAUGCAUUAUGAUUAAAGUGCAAUUCAUCCCAAGAAUGUAAGGUUGGUUUGAAUUUUAAAAAUCACUUCAUAUGAUUCACAAUAACCAUAUGCUAAUAAGAAAAAAUACAUGUAUCAUUUCAUAAAUACAGAAACAUGUUCAACUAAAUCAAAUAUCACCAAUGGUGGAGUUGCUGCAAACUAAGAAAGCAAGAAAAGUUUGAAAACUUUUCAAAGUUUUGAAAGUUUGAAAAGCAAGAAAACUAUGAAAGCAAGAAAAGUUUCUCAACCUGGUAAAUCACACCUAUAAAGUAGCACUAAGUAAAAAACAUGCUAAAUGAUGAAAUAAUAAUUUUCCUUGAGAUGGGAAUCAAGGAAAACAUAUUCAAGGAAUACAGAUUGAAAAGGAACUAUAAAAAAGAAUUGUUGGUCUUAGGCCUACCUGCGCCAACUUCCCAACUUCCUGCCACACUUGGCUGGCUCCGGGGGUCUUGCGCCUGCCUGCACCCUCAAUUCUGAAAUUGGGUGGCCAGAAGUGAGUGUCCCCUCACCAUCCCAAGCCCCAGGAGUUUAAGGUCAUCCCUCCCACUGGCCAAGGAACUUCCCAGCUUCCUGCCACACUCGACCUGCUCCACCUGCCUACCACACCCUCGGUGACCCUCUCUCAAUCUGGGGAACUGGGCAGCCACAGUCCCAGGAGCUGAUGGCAUAGAAGACGAUUUCCAACAGGACCAGGGGGAGCCUUGGAACAACAUUUGAAACACGGAAAUAUAUGAAAAUGACAAAAUGAAAGACCAAAAUACAAUCUCAAACCUCCAGACCAUCCCAAGAAACCUUAGGAAAUAUGUACAUAGAAGAAAAAUAUGUGCCAUACACCUGAAAUACCUGAAAUAACAGCAACUAAAAUAAAGAAGCAACUCCAGGAAGCUUUAAAGGAAUUCAAACUAGCAAUAAUAUUCCAGGUAAAAGAAGAAAUGAUACAAGUAAUGAAAGAGAUGCUGAACACAUCUAAAGAAGACACAGUUAAAAAAUUAGAGAAACAAAACAAAAGAUAGAAUCCCUGGAUGAACAAUAUAAGAAACAAACAGAAUACAUGAAGUAGAUUCAAAGAGAUAUGCAGGAAAUCAAAAACUCCAUUGAAAGUUGUCAAAACCACCUCAACAAAAGUGAAAAUAGAAUUUCACACCUCCAAGACAAGAUUGCAGCUAGGGAAUAGGACAGGAAAGAUCUUUUAAAUAUAACAAGGAAUUAGGAAAUAACAAUUCAACAGCUGCAAGAUGAUGCAAAGAAAAACAACAUAAGAUUGCUAGGGAUAAAUGAAAAAAAAGGGGGGGGACAACACAAAGGAUAUCAAGAGGAUAUUUAGAGAAGUAAUAGCUGAAAAUUUCCCAAACAUGAGAAUGGAAACUGACAUCAGGAUCAGUGAAGCAUAUAGAACUCCAAAUAGCCAUAACCAAAAUAAAACUACACUCAGACAUAUAACAAUCACCAUCCCAGAAAUCCAACCUAAGAAUAGAAUAUUAAACGCUAUCAGAGAGAAAAGAUACAUCACCUAUAAAGGAAAACUUAUCAGAAUUGCAGCAGACUUCUUAGCACAAACAAUAAAGUCAAGAAGAACAUGGAAUGAAGUAUUUCAGAUCCUAAAGGAAAAUGAUUCCCAACCUAGACUGAGGUAUCUUGCAAACCUGUCCUUGAAAUUGGAUGCAGAAAUAAAAUACUUCCAUGACAAAGAACAGCUAAAGAGCUUCAUGAUCACCAAACCAACCCUGCAAAGAAUACUGAAACACAGUCUAGAUACACUUAGGGAAAAAAACACUAAGGAAAGCAGACAGUUAAACAGAAUGGAAAGAUAAAGAUGCCACAGCAGAAAGAUAACAUUUCAACAAUGAACCAAAACAAUAACAGUUAUAACCAUUACUGUAAAUUGUCUCCAUUCUCCAAUUAAAGGAAACAAACUGGCAGAAUGGAUCAAGAAACAACAUCCAACCAUAUGCUGUCUACAAGAAACCCAUCUAACCCAAAAGGAUACACACAGGCUGAAAGUCAAAGGAUGGAAAACAAUACUUUAUGCAACAGGAACCAAAAAAAAAAAAAAAAUGGGGGUAGCUAUUCUGUUUGCAGACAAUGUAAAAUUCAAACCAAGAAUGAUUAGAAGAGAUAAAAAAAGGUCAUUACAUACCGGUUAGGGGAAAACUUCAAGAGGAAGAGAUAACAAUCUUAAAUAUAUAUGCACCAAAUUCCAGAGCACCCAGUUAAACAAAGCAAGUAUUAAUAGAAAUGAAAAAUCAAAUUAGCAAUAACACAAUUAUAAGAGGAGAUCUUAACACACCAUUGAUACAAAGGAAUAGAUGAACCAGACAGAAAAUCAGCAAAGAAAUGACAGAACUGAAUCACACAUGUGAACAAAAGGACUUGAUAGACCUACACAGAGUGUUCCAUCCAACAACAUCAGAAUACACAUUCUUCUUAGCAGUACAUGGGUCAUUCUCUAAAAUAGACCAUAUACUAGCCCGCCGAAAAUAUCUGAACAAAGGCAAAAGGGUUGAAAUUAUUCCAUGCAUGUUAUCAGAUCAUAGCACCAUGAAACUAGAAAUUCAUGAUAAAACAAACUGCAAAAACCCCACAAACACAUGGAAAAUGAAUAACACACUCUUGAGCAAUCAGUGGGUUACAGGGGAAAUUAAAGAAGAAACUAAACAAUACCUGCAAGCAAACAAAAAUACAAAUACAGCUUACCAGAAUCUGUGGGAUGCAAUGAAAGCAGUCCUCAGAGGAAAAUAUAUUGCACUGAGUUCUCACAUCAGGAAAACAGAAUGAAUGCAAAUAAAUAACUUGAUGCUACACUUCAAACAUCUAGAAAAAUAAGAGCAAGUCAAGCCCAAAGCAAAAAGAAGGGAAGAAAUUAUAAAAAUCAGAGCAGAAACUAAUGCAAUAGAGACUAAGAAAACAAUCCAAAGAAUCAAUGAAUCAAAGAGUUGGUUCUUUGAAAGAAUAAAUAAAAUUGAUAAGCCUCUAGCCAACCUUAUUUCAAAAAGAAAUGAAAAAGCUCAAAUUCAUGCCAUAAGGAAUGAAAAAGGUGAAAUCACUACAGAUUCUGUAGAAACACAGAAGAUCAUCAACACCUAUUUCAAAAAUCUCUACUCUCAUAGGUUUGAUAACAGAAGAAAUAGACAGAUUCAUAGAAACUUAUGAAAUACCAAAGCUGGGUCAAGAAGAUGCAAAACUGCUGAAUAAUCCAAUUUCUUUUAAUUAAAUCGAAAAUGUAAUUAAGUCCCUACAUACAAAGAAGAGCCCAGGCCCAGAUGGAUUCACUGCAGAAUUCCACAAGAAAUACAAAGAAGACUUAAUGCUGACACUCCUUAAACUGUUCAAUGAAAUCAAAAGGGAUGCAAUUCUUCAUAAGUCAUUCCCGGAAGCAAAUGUUAUCUUAGUACCAAAACGUGAGAAAGACCAAAAAAAAAAAAAAAAAAAGAGAGAGAGAGAGAGAGAGAGAACUACAGGCCAACAGGCCAAUCUCCCUAAUGAACACAGAUGCAAAAAUCCUCAAUAAAAUAUUGGCAAACAGGAUGCAGCAAAUCAUCAAGAAGAUUAUACACCAUGACCAAGUGGGAUUCAUCCCAGGCAUGCAGGGAUGGUUCAACAUACAUAAAUCAAUAAAAGUAAUCCAGCAUAUCAAUAAAGCCAAAAGUAAGAAUCACAUGAUCAUUUCUGUAGAUGCAGAACAAGCUUUUGAUAAGGUCCAAUAUUCAUUCAUGAUAAGAACCUUACAGAAAAUUGGAAUAGAUGGUGUUUACCUCAAUAUGAUAAAGACCAUCUAUGACAAACCAACAGCCAGUAUCCUACUAAAUGGCCAAAAACUGAAGAUCUUUACCUUAAAAUCAGGCAUAAGACAAGGAUGUCCCUUAUCACUGCUCCUAUUUAAUAUAGUACUAGAAACACUAGCCAGAGCAAUUAGACAAGAGAGAGAAAUAAAGGGGGUAAAGAUAGGAAAAGAAGAAGUUAUAUUAACAUUAUUUGCAGAUGACAUGAUACUCUAGAUAGAAGACCCCCAAAAUUCCAUUGAAAGAUUCCUAGAUAUAAUAAAUAAAUUCAGCAGUAUAGCUGAAUACAAAAUCAACACUCAAAAAUCAAUAUCAUUACUAUACACUAACAACAAACUCACAGAGAGAGAAAUAAGAGAAGCCACACCCUUCACACUACCAUCCAAAGAAUUGAAAUACUUAGGAAAUAUUUUUACUAAAGAAGUGAAAGAUCUAUAUAGGGAAAAUUAUAAUGCACUGAAAAAAGAAAUUGAAGAGGAUCUCGGAAAAUGGAAAGACAUCCCUUGCUCAUGGAUAGGAAGAAUAAAUAUUGUGAAAAUGGUCAUUCUCCCAAAACUGUUAUACAGAUUCAAUACAAUCCCACUAAAAAUACCAUCAACAUACCUCAUAUAUCUAGAGAAAUCACUCCUAAAAUUCAUCUGAAUCCAGAAGAGAUCAAGAAUAGCAAAGACAGUUCUAAUCAGCAAAGGCAAGGCAGGAGGCAUCACAAUCCCUGACUUGAAGUUAUACUACAAAGCAGCUAUAGUAAAAUCAACAUGGUACCAUCUUAUCUUUGAUAAAGGGGCCAAACAUGUUCACUGGAAGAAUGACAGUCUCUUUAAUAAGUGGUGUUGGAAAAACUGGCUUUCCAUAUGCUAAAAACUAAAACAAGACCCAUGCGUAUCACCAUGUACUAAAUUAAAACCUAAAUGGAUCAAAGAUCUGAAUAUUAAAACAGAAACACUAAAUCUAUUGGAAGACAAAUUGGGUAAAAACCUUGAAGACAUAGGGGUAGGUAGCGAAUUCAUGAACAGGAAUCAUACCACAUGAUAAAUACUUCCCAGAAUCAAUAACUGGGAUCACGUCUUAUUAAAAAGUCUCUGCAUGUCAAAAGAAAUCUCCAGCAUAGUGAUAAGAAAACCCACAAACUGGGAAAAAAUCUUAGUGAACUGUCCUUCAGACAAAGGGCUUCUGUCUAAAACAUAAAAAGCUUUAAGAAAUCAGAUCCUCAAAAUUCAAAGGUCCAAUCCAAAAAUGGGCAUCUGAGAUGAAUACACAGUUCUUAGAUAAAGAAAUACAAAUGGCAAAGAAAUGCAUGAAAAAAUGUUCAUCAUCACUAGUCAUUAGAGAAAUGCAAAUUAAAACCACACUGAGAUUCCAUCUCACUCCUGAAAGAAUGGCCAGGAUCAAGAAAACUACCACAACAAAUGCUGGAGAUGCUGUGGGGAAAAAGGAAUUCUCCUGCACUGUUGGUGGGAGUGUAAACUGGUGCAACCAUUGUGGAGGUCAGUCUGGAGACUUCGCAGAAAGCUGAGAUUGGAAGUCCCAUUUGUUCCAGCUAUUCCCCUUCUGGGCAUAUUCCCAAAAGAACUGAAAACAUCCUAACACAGUGAUAUUUGUGCACCCAUGUUUAUAGCAGCAUAAUUUGUAAUAGCCAGAUCUAAGAAACAACCUAAGUGUCCAUCAACUGUGGAAUGGACAUAAAAUUGUGGUAUUUUUAUGCACUGGAGUACUACUCAGCUAUAACAAAUGAUCGCAUUGAGAUAUUUAUAAAUAAAUGGAUGCAGCUUGAGACCAUACUCGUAAGUGAAAUAAAUCAAACUUACAUGUAUAAAUACAGAAUAGUCUACCUAGUGUAAGAAAUGGUAAGAAUACAUAGAAGUGUGUGAUAAUCAUGAUUCCCCAUUAUAUUGCUUUGAAGCCUUAUAAAGUUCUCAUUCAUCAGUUGGAAUGGUUUAUUCUGGGUUGUUUGAGUGUAUUGUAGGUGAUGGUAUGAACAGCUAUUUUGAAGAAAAUAAAACAUUAUAAUAGCUAGUGCUGAUUUAAUAUCAUCUUGUUUUGAAGUCCUUCCAAGAUUUUGUUCUUCUGUCUCCAUCAGUUUUAUCAUGUUGUAUCUUAUUGUAUUUUAUUAUAUGUGAUAGUAUAAACAAAAUUCUUUAUGGACAAGGAGAUAAUAUAGUAACCAUUGUUCAUUUUCUGUUAGUUGGUUCUGAAUAACCUGUAAUACAUUCAUUCUCUUGAAUGGUUUUGUACUUGUUAUCUUUGAUACUUAUGUCUUAUCUUUGAUACUAUAGUGUUUGAAGGUAUACUCAAAUAUUUCAAGGAAAGAGACACUAUGGUAGCUACUGUUGUGCUGGGUUGUCUUGUGAAACACUAUGUUGCUUUAAUUGUUCUAUUCUGUCCUCUUUUGUUAUGUCCUCUUUUAUCUAUCUUUUUUAAAAUAAAAAAAGAAUUGUCUGUAUAUA
Molecule: long non-coding RNA, 7931 nt
Organism: Cavia porcellus (domestic guinea pig)
Lineage: Eukaryota; Metazoa; Chordata; Mammalia; Rodentia; Caviidae
Exons: 4
Source: RefSeq, a predicted model, not a curated record